UACGUAGGGCGCAAGCGUUAUCCGGAAUUAUUGGGCGUAAAGAGCUCGUAGGCGGUUUGUCGCGUCUGCCGUGAAAGUCCGGGGCUCAACUCCGGAUCUGCGGUGGGUACGGGCAGACUAGAGUGAUGUAGGGGAGACUGGAAUUCCUGGUGUAGCGGUGAAAUGCGCAGAUAUCAGGAGGAACACCAAUGGCGAAGGCAGAUCUCUGGGCCGUAACUGACGCUGAGGAGCGAAAGCGUGGGGAGCGAACAGG
This 253-nucleotide ribosomal RNA is filed under the name uncultured bacterium. RNAcentral's name for it is "partial 16S ribosomal RNA". It matches the Rfam family "Bacterial small subunit ribosomal RNA", at positions 524 to 776 of the family's 1533-position model. The record is from RNAcentral.